CACGUAGUUGGCCGGGGCUUCUUCUGCAGGUACCGUCAAUUUCCUCCCUGCUGGAAGGAGUUUACAACCCGAGAGCCUUCAUCCCCCACGCGGCGUUGCUGCGUCAGGCUUUCGCCCAUUGCGCAAGAUUCCCCA
Molecule: ribosomal RNA, 135 nt
Filed under: uncultured bacterium
Lineage: Bacteria
Description: partial 16S ribosomal RNA
Source: RNAcentral